GAUGAAGAACGCAGCGAAAUGCGAUACGUAGUGUGAAUUGCAGAAUUCAGUGAAUCAUCGAAUCUUUGAACGCACAUUGCACCUCUCGGUAUUCCAGGAGGUAUGCCUGUUCGAGCGUCAUUUGUACCCUCAAGCUCUGCUUGGUGUUGGGUGUUUGUUCCGCCUCUGUGUGUGAACUCGCCUCAAAACAAUUGGCAGCCGGCGUACUUGUUUCGGAGCGCAGCACAUUUUGCGAUCCAGAUCAACGUACAGCGGCAUCCAAGAAGCCUUAUUUAACGCUCUUGACCUCGGAUCAGGCAGGGAUACCCGCUGAACUUAAGCAUAUCAAUAAGCGGAGGA
This 339-nucleotide unclassified non-coding RNA is filed under the name soil metagenome. RNAcentral's name for it is "partial contains 5.8S ribosomal RNA, internal transcribed spacer 2, and large subunit ribosomal RNA". The stretch from base 1 to 120 matches the Rfam family "5.8S ribosomal RNA", at positions 35 to 154 of the family's 154-position model. The record is from RNAcentral.